Phoenix dactylifera (date palm) is the source of this 437-nucleotide non-coding RNA. The record is from RefSeq and is a predicted model, not a curated record. NCBI's taxonomy places the organism in Eukaryota, Viridiplantae, Streptophyta, Magnoliopsida, Arecales, Arecaceae.
AGGUUUGCUUCCUCGCUAAUGUUUGAUUUUUUCAUGCCCACCUUAACAACGGCAACGUGAUGUUAUGCCACUAACUUGAGUUCAUCGAGAAGAUUCAAUAUGUUACUCUGAAUGCAUUUUGGUGUAAGGAUGUGAAUUAUAGCAUCUCCAAGGCAUUUGGGCGAGGAGAGCUCCUUUUCUUUUUUCCUUUCCACACUUGAGAUGGAUGUGUUUUCUUUCACUGUUUUUUCAUGGUCAAUAAAUCAAAUCAGAGAGGGCGGAACUGAUGUGCUUGGGCUGAUGAUGAACUAUGCAAUGGUGGUGGCUUGAUUGCUUAACCAAAGGUUCAUUUAGUAUUCAAGGCUUAUCUGCUCUGUAUCAAGCAAUGAAAUUGUUUUACAUCACAAAGUUUUCUUUCAUUGCAAAACCACUGCGUUCUAUUCCAAUCAGUUUGAAUU